UAUGGUACCUUUCCAGAAUAUGGUGAAGUGACAUUGAUAAUAGACGAUUCAUUUCAUUGGGAAAUCAAUAUAAAUGGCAUAAUCAAACAAAACUGGGAGUUGACGAAGAUGACGAGCCAUGAGUUUGUAUAAUGACAGAUUCCCAUGACUUGCAUGAAAUUGUUGUCUGGUGGGAGAAAGCUUAUUCUCACUGCAUUCACUGAAGCUAGCCUUGAAAAUUAUAGUUGUCUUGUUUUUCAAGAAGCAGAAAACAUGGAAUGUUGGUUCAACGGGACUCAAAGAAUGCAAUUAGAUAAUAAGUGGAUAACAUCAUGACAACAAUUAUUGGCAAAUUGAGGGC
Long non-coding RNA from Gastrolobium bilobum, 340 nucleotides. RefSeq lists it as uncharacterized. Lineage: Eukaryota; Viridiplantae; Streptophyta; Magnoliopsida; Fabales; Fabaceae. The record is from RefSeq and is a predicted model, not a curated record. The transcript has 3 exons.